This 82-nucleotide transfer RNA is filed under the name Alosa alosa (allis shad). Its description in RNAcentral is "tRNA-Thr". Lineage: Eukaryota; Metazoa; Chordata; Actinopteri; Clupeiformes; Clupeidae. The record is from RNAcentral.
UAAGCCGUGGCCUACUGGUUAGGGCUUUGGGCUUGUAACCGAAAGGUUUAUUGUGAAUGUUGCGGUUCGAUCCCCGACCCAG